RNAcentral lists this ribosomal RNA (460 nucleotides) under uncultured bacterium. RNAcentral's name for it is "partial 16S ribosomal RNA". It matches the Rfam family "Bacterial small subunit ribosomal RNA", at positions 338 to 795 of the family's 1533-position model. The record is from RNAcentral.
CCUACGGGAGGCAGCAGUGAGGAAUAUUGGUCAAUGGCCGGAAGGCUGAACCAGCCAUGCCGCGUGAAGGUCAGUGCCCUAUGGGCGUUAAACUUCUUUUGUGCGGGAGCAAUAAUGGUCACGUGUGGCCAGACGAGAGUACCGUACGAAUAAGCAUCGGCUAACUCCGUGCCAGCAGCCGCGGUAAUACGGGGGAUGCAAGCGUUAUCCGGAUUUAUUGGGUUUAAAGGGUGCGUAGGCUGUGAGGUAAGUCAGCGGGGAAAUGCCCCCGCUCAACGGGGUGAAGUGCCAUUGAUACUGCCUUGCUGGAAUGCGGAUGCCGUGGGAGGAAUGUGUGGUGUAGCGGUGAAAUGCAUAGAGAUCACACAGAACACCGAUUGCGAAGGCAUCUCACGAAUCCGCGAUUGACGCUGAUGCACGAAAGCGUGGGUAUCAAACAGGAUUAGAUACCCCAGUAGUC